This 253-nucleotide ribosomal RNA is filed under the name uncultured bacterium. Its description in RNAcentral is "partial 16S ribosomal RNA". It matches the Rfam family "Bacterial small subunit ribosomal RNA", at positions 524 to 776 of the family's 1533-position model. The record is from RNAcentral.
UACGAAGGGGGCUAGCGUUGUUCGGAAUUACUGGGCGUAAAGCGCGCGCAGGCGGUUUUUCAAGUCAGUGGUGAAAGCCCGGAGCUCAACUCCGGAACUGCCAUUGAAACUGUAAAACUUGAGGACGAGAGAGGUGAGUGGAAUUCCCAGUGUAGAGGUGAAAUUCGUAGAUAUUGGGAAGAACACCGGUGGCGAAGGCGGCAUCCUGGACCAAUAUUGACGCUGAGGAGCGAAAGCCAGGGGAGCAAACGGG